AUUGAACGCUGGCGGCAGGCCUAACACAUGCAAGUCGAGCGGAAGAAGGGAGCUGGCUCCUGGAUUCAGCGGAGGACGGGUGAGUAAUGCCUAGGAAUCUGCCUGGUAGUGGGGGAUAACGUCCGGAAACGGGCGCUAAUCCCGCAUACGUCCUGAGGGAGAAAGUGGGGAUCUUCGGACCUCACGCUAUCAGAUGAGCCUGGGUCGGAUUAGCUAGUUGGUGGGGUAAAGGCCUACCAAGGGGACGAUCCGUAACCGGCCGGAGAGGAGGACCAGGCACAGUGGAGGGGAGAGGCGGCAUUGGCACCGAGGGGAGGCAGCGGUGGGGAAGAGUGGACGAAGGGGGGAAGCUUGAACCAGGCGUGGCGGGUGGGUGAAGAAGGGCGUCGGGUGGGAAAGCGGUUUAAGUGGGGAGGAAGGGCUGUAGGUGGGGAGCUUGUUGUUGUGACGGUACCAGCAGAAGAAGCACCGGCUAACUUCGUG
Molecule: ribosomal RNA, 483 nt
Filed under: uncultured bacterium
Lineage: Bacteria
Description: partial 16S ribosomal RNA
Rfam family: Bacterial small subunit ribosomal RNA
Source: RNAcentral